AGAGUUUGAUCCUGGCUCAGGACGAACGCUGGCGGCGUGCCUAAUACAUGCAAGUCGAGCGAGCUUGCCUAGAUGAUUUUGGUGCUUGCACUAAAUGAAACUAGAUACAAGCGAGCGGCGGACGGGUGAGUAACACGUGGGUAACCUGCCCAAGAGACUGGGAUAACACCUGGAAACAGAUGCUAAUACCGGAUAACAACACUAGACGCAUGUCUAGAGUUUGAAAGAUGGUUCUGCUAUCACUCUUGGAUGGACCUGCGGUGCAUUAGCUAGUUGGUAAGGUAACGGCUUACCAAGGCAAUGAUGCAUAGCCGAGUUGAGAGACUGAUCGGCCACAUUGGGACUGAGACACGGCCCAAACUCCUACGGGAGGCAGCAGUAGGGAAUCUUCCACAAUGGACGAAAGUCUGAUGGAGCAACGCCGCGUGAGUGAAGAAGGGUUUCGGCUCGUAAAGCUCUGUUGGUAGUGAAGAAAGAUAGAGGUAGUAACUGGCCUUUAUUUGACGGUAAUUACUUAGAAAGUCACGGCUAACUACGUGCCAGCAGCCGCGGUAAUACGUAGGUGGCAAGCGUUGUCCGGAUUUAUUGGGCGUAAAGCGAGUGCAGGCGGUUCAAUAAGUCUGAUGUGAAAGCCUUCGGCUCAACCGGAGAAUUGCAUCAGAAACUGUUGAACUUGAGUGCAGAAGAGGAGAGUGGAACUCCAUGUGUAGCGGUGGAAUGCGUAGAUAUAUGGAAGAACACCAGUGGCGAAGGCGGCUCUCUGGUCUGCAACUGACGCUGAGGCUCGAAAGCAUGGGUAGCGAACAGGAUUAGAUACCCUGGUAGUCCAUGCCGUAAACGAUGAGUGCUAAGUGUUGGGAGGUUUCCGCCUCUCAGUGCUGCAGCUAACGCAUUAAGCACUCCGCCUGGGGA
Molecule: ribosomal RNA, 912 nt
Filed under: uncultured bacterium
Lineage: Bacteria
Description: bacterial SSU rRNA
Rfam family: Bacterial small subunit ribosomal RNA
Source: RNAcentral